UACAAUAAUAUUGGCAUAAUACGAGAGAAACGAUACGUACGAGAUGCAAUUAAUCCAUUUACUGCUUAUCGUAAACAUGAAUUCCACAUAAGAUACAGAUUUUCUAAAGAAUCUGUUAUGUAUGGACUACUACCUUUAGUUGUGAACAGUUUAACAAAUAUGCGAGGUCUUUCAAUCGAACCAGUUAUUCAACUACUAAUUUGUCUGAGAUUUUAUGCUACUGCUAGUUUUCAAAAAGUAAAUGGAGAUCUCAUAAACUUACCACAAUCUACAAUUAGCAGGAUUAUAUUUAAAGUAACUACUAUAUUAGCUACUUAUCUAAAUACUUAUGUCAAAUUUCCAACAAAUGAAGCAACCAUAGAAGAAAAUAAAAAUCUAUUUAAAGAAUUAGGCUAUGGAUAUGGAGCUAUUGGACUUCCUAACAUUAGUGGGGCAAUAGAUUGCACCCACAUAAGAUUAGUGAGUAAUAACUUUGGAGGAAUAGGUGAAAUGUAUAGAAAUAGAAAGGGAUAUUUUUCCUUAAAUGUCCAGGCUAUUGUAGGACCACGAACGGAAUUUUUGGAUCUUGUCCCCGAAUGGCCAGGAAGUCAACAUGACAGUCGAUUUUUCCAAAAUUUUCGAGUUUUUAUGCGGUUUCAACAACGUGAACUAACAGGAAUGUUAGUUGGAGAUUCAGGAUAUCCCUCUCUCAUAUUUCUUCUAACACCGUUCAGAAAUCCACAAAAUGAUGACGAACACAGGUAUAAUGAAAUUCAAUCACGAACACGAAUGGUUGUUGAAAGAACUUUUGGAAUAUGGAAAAGGCGAUUUCCUUGUCUAUCAAGAGGAUUAUCAUUAAAACAUAUUAACAUGUACUAGAGUUCUAUCAGCUUGUGCAGUUUUGCAUAAUUUAUCACUACAUUACAAGGACGUUCUCCCAGAGGAACCAGAACCUAAUGUAGCAAUUGAAAAUAAUGAAGAGCUGCCCUACAAUGAACCUCAUGGGCAACCUGGUGAUGGUCAUGUUAUUAGGCAAAAUGUAGUUCGAUAAUUAUUUAAUUAGUAGUGAAGCGGAAUGGAGCAAAUUGGCGUCGCGUCAAUAACAGGCAACUAAAAAUAUUUUACAGGUAAUUAAAAAUAUUUAAUCUUUUUUUAAUCGAGCAAAGACAUAAUACGUCAAGUUGUUUCCGUUUUAGUGUAAACAACCGGAAUUUCAUUUAUACUACAUACUAACAGAGUUAAGAUGGUCGCCUAAUUUAAUAAGCUGUCGUAAAGAUAAAACGUCUUGUUCCAUGAUGACCAAUUUUGUCAAUGUAUUGAAUACAAUUUUGUUCCGCAACGAAAAAAUAGAUUUGGGAGAGUUCAGUUUUACACACAUUCCCAGCAAACAGAACAUUGUAGCAAUAUUGCGACAAUUUUGUAAUAUUGCUGUAAUAUUGCCACAAUGUUAUAACAUUGCCGCAAUGUUGCUGCUAUGUUCUGUGUUUACUGGGUUGGCAGUUGGAUCGAUAGUUAUCCUUUGGAGUGCCCGAAGAACAGAAUUGGAUCUUUAUUGGAGAUGCUCGCGACUAUUUUUGAAAAAUGUAUUGCACUGCAAGUUUCUUGUAAUAAUUCGAGUCGAUGGUGUCAAGAAAAUGUUGGACGCAUUAUGGUGUGUCGUCGCAUCUCGAGUUCGCCAACUUGUUUUCGAUCCCGUGCUCUCUGGUUACAAUUAUAAAAUUAGCUGCGUUCAGUGCGGAGAAUGCAGCGGUAGCAGCAUUGAUAUUUGUGAAAAACAAGGUAAGAAUAUUUUAUCCAAAUAUCAGUAUCUAUUUUUUGAAAAAAUAAUAUAACAAUAAUAAAUUGCUUUGUGUCUUUAGAAUUACCCAAUAUUAUUUCAUGUCGAUUCUCGAGAAUAAGCAAUUUGUUGAAAACUUGAAGAAGGAAAUUCCAAAUUUUGACACUAUUUUUAUCCAAGUUUGUACGUAUUUAUCGUUUAUUAUGUUACGAAAUAAUCAGAGCAGAGUUCAUAAAAUUUAUAUUUUAGGUUUGGAUAAAAUGUUCCAUUGUCAGUUACGACACAAACAGAAAAGAUGUAAAGAUUCUGCAAAACUACAUUCAGUCUCAGUGAGAUCAAGAAGAUGGAUACAUGUCAUUUACAAUAGAUUGAAUUGCGAGCAAGUUGAAAAGAUUCUAAAAGCACGCGGCAUUAAAGGUGGCGAUGACGAAAAGAAGAAAGAGACAUGAUCUAAUGAGAAGUCAGUGGUGUAAUGCGUUUUAAAUGCGUGUGGGAGAAAUGAGAAUUGUCAUUGUGCGAUGUUUAUUUCAAUGUAACUUAUAUUUGGUUUUAUGUUUACAUAUCACAUAUCAAACUGGUUUACAUAUCACAUAUCAAACUGUUAUUACAUAAUUACAUAAAAAAAACGAGAUCAUCUUUGUCAGCAUAUACAUAUUAACUUAGUAUGUAAUUAAUAAUUUUAUAUUUUAAUAAUAAAAUAAAAUAAUAAAACAAAGUAAAACUUAAUAUCUCUUUAAAUAACACUUAUGCGUGCGCUUGCAAUUAAGCAUUAAACAUCAUCCGAAACGUAAUGUUCUCCCCUAAAAUUUAAAAAACAUUUUAAAAUAGAAUUAUUUUGUUUGAAAAAAUUACUUACAUCUCUUUUUGAGCACGAAACUUUGCUAGCUUGUAUUUCUCUUGCAACUCCUUUUUUUCCAACAAUAAGCUAAUUACUAUC
Molecule: unclassified non-coding RNA, 2693 nt
Filed under: Monomorium pharaonis (pharaoh ant)
Lineage: Eukaryota; Metazoa; Arthropoda; Insecta; Hymenoptera; Formicidae
Description: putative nuclease HARBI1, transcript variant X1
Source: RNAcentral